This is a non-coding RNA of Pelobates cultripes (western spadefoot toad), 203 nucleotides long. NCBI's taxonomy places the organism in Eukaryota, Metazoa, Chordata, Amphibia, Anura, Pelobatidae. The record is from the annotation of a GenBank genome assembly.
CCACACCUGUUUGUUUUCCAUUUUCCUUUUGUUUCAGUCUGGACCUGCAGCAGUGUUUCAAGUCUCUGCCCUUUCUUGCAGGUAAGUGCUAUUGUGGUUUAGUAUGGUUCUUUUAGCGAACAUUAGGCAGUGUAGGACCUGCCGAAUAUGGGGUACAUUGGCGUUGUGGCAGGCUUAUGCAAUGUAUGAUCAUAUAAUGUAAC